RNAcentral lists this ribosomal RNA (312 nucleotides) under Triticum aestivum (bread wheat). Its description in RNAcentral is "partial small subunit ribosomal RNA". The record is from RNAcentral. Lineage: Eukaryota; Viridiplantae; Streptophyta; Magnoliopsida; Poales; Poaceae.
AUGGCGCAGGCAGGGGGCUCCAUGGCGGUUGCUGCUGUGCUGGUCGCCGGGCAGAGGACGGCAGAGCAGAACGAAGAGGCCGGGAAUGGGCAGGUUGGCUGCGGGGGAGGACCUGAACACCGGAAUCCGAAGGAGCGGCGACUUGGCGGAGGCCGGCCGGAUCUGGAGUGGGCUAUGGCACCAGCGCAGGCAGAAAGUCAACGAAGGCCAUGGCGCUGCAGAUGGAUGGGUUCAGGCGUCACUGCGGGGAGCUCCUCUCCCGUAUGGCACAGCGGGAGGACUUGGCAGCAGGUGCUCCGACGAGGUACUUAG